This 723-nucleotide ribosomal RNA is filed under the name Triticum aestivum (bread wheat). RNAcentral describes it as "partial small subunit ribosomal RNA". The record is from RNAcentral. Lineage: Eukaryota; Viridiplantae; Streptophyta; Magnoliopsida; Poales; Poaceae.
AUGGCAAUUGACCCUCUGUAUAGUCUUCUAGAGACUGCUGCAACGGAAGAAACAAUCGCACCGCUGCCGGGUUGUGGCAUCAGCCUGAGAAUCAGCUUAUACACGGAUGAUGCAGUCAUUUUUGCCAACCCAGAGAAUGAAGAGGUGGACACGCUGCUCUAUCUAUUAAACAGAUUUGGUGAGUCCACGGGCCUGAAGCCGAACCAAGCAAGGUCAUCGGUUAUUCCAAUUAAUUGUGGUGGGAUUUAGUUAUCUGAGGUGCUGAGAAACUUUGGAGGCCAACAAGCUGCUUUCCCGACUACAUACCUAGGUCUGCCGAUCUCCACAAGAAAGCUGAGACUAGUGCAUUUACAAUUCAUCACUGAUCGGGUACGCACGAGGCUCGUGGGAUGGAAAGGAAGAUUGAUGAACAUGGCUGGCAGGUGGGUGUUGGUGCGCGCGGUGCUAACAGCCCUUCUGGUUUUCACUACGACUGCCCUCAAGGUGCCAAAAAAGAUACUCAAGGAGGUGGACAAAGCACGCUGGCAGUUCCUUUGGCCUCAAGAUGAAAACGUAACAUGCGCCAAAUGCAAAAUGGUUGCGACAAAGUUUGCCGUCCUGUGGCCAAGGGGGGCUCAGCAUUCUGGACCUUCCUUGUUUCAGCACAGCCCUACGGAUGAGAUGGCUCUGGCUCUCCUGGCAGCAUUCGUGGAGACCAUGGAUGAACUUCCCUGCCCCGUGUGA